RNAcentral lists this long non-coding RNA (550 nucleotides) under Androctonus crassicauda. Lineage: Eukaryota; Metazoa; Arthropoda; Arachnida; Scorpiones; Buthidae. The record is from RNAcentral.
CAUGAUACAAGUUUUUGUUUUAAUAAUGGCAGCUGUUCAGUCAAGUAUGUUGAGAUCAUCUGACUUGAUAUCAUUGUUUUGUUGUUAUAAGUUUAAGAAAAAAAGGACAAACUUUGGGAAGUCAUUCAAAACAAAUUAUUUUGAAUGCUUAUUCUUAACUUCAGAAAGGAAAUGUGAAUUCUACAGUGGAGGAAAUAAUAAAGUUAACUUCUGAACUCAUUGGCAUGGCUGCCAGCAGCAUUUAUGCUACAAACAAAGAAUGGAAAUUGUUCUUGAGUAAAUUGUAGACUCCUGGUAAAAAAAAAAAGGCUACAUAAGAAGGGGAGGAAAGUUUGAUGAGUUUGUGUAUUCAGCAAUAAGAGGUAAUGUCCAUCAGUUUCUUUUUUUGGAAAUGAGCUUCCACUCUGAAAGCUAUUUUACAUGAAAUGAAUAACGAUCCAGAUUUGCCUUAUUUAAGUAUGACAUCUUUGUAUUGCAUUAUGAAAAAAAUAGGUUUUGCCUAUGAAAAACAGAAAAAGGAGUCAAAACUGCUGGAAAAUCCUGAAAUCAC